CAGUCGCCACGGUAAUACGAAGGGUGCAAGCGUCACUCGGAAUUACUGGGCGUAAAGCGUGCGUAGGUGGUGGUUUAAGUCCGUUGUGAAAGCCCUGGGCUCAACCUGGGAAUUGCAGUGGAUACUGGGUCACUAGAGUGUGGUAGAGGAUAGUGGAAUUUCCGGUGUAGCAGUGAAACGCGUAGAGAUCGGAAGGAACAUCUGUGGCGAAGGCGACUAUCUGGGCCAACACUGACACUGAGGCACGAAAGCGUGGGGAGCAAACAGGAUUAGAUACCCGUGUAGUCCCUGUCUCUUAUAC
RNAcentral lists this ribosomal RNA (301 nucleotides) under uncultured bacterium. Its description in RNAcentral is "partial 16S ribosomal RNA". It matches the Rfam family "Bacterial small subunit ribosomal RNA", at positions 509 to 807 of the family's 1533-position model. The record is from RNAcentral.